AGAAUCUUUCGCAAUGGGGGAAACCCUGACGACGCGACGCCGUGUGCGGGAUGAAGGUCUUCGGAUUGUAAACCGCUGUCACAAGGGAUGAAUGCACAGAUGUUAAUAGCGUCUGUUUUGACAUAACCUUGAAAGGAAGCCCCGGCUAACUCCGUGCCAGCAGCCGCGGUAAUACGGAGGGGGCAAGCGUUGUUCGGAUUUACUGGGCGUAAAGGGUGUGUAGGCGGAUAGAUAAGUGAAACGUGAAAGCCUGCGGCUUAACCGUAGAAUUGCGUUUCAAACUAUCUAUCUUGAGUACAGGGGAAGUAAGUGGAAUUCUCAGUGUAGCGGUGAAAUGCGUAGAUAUUGAGAAGAACACCAGAGGUGAAGACGGCUUACUAUCCUGAUACUGACGCUGAGACACGAAGGCUAGGGGAGCAAAC
RNAcentral lists this ribosomal RNA (422 nucleotides) under uncultured bacterium. Its description in RNAcentral is "bacterial SSU rRNA". It matches the Rfam family "Bacterial small subunit ribosomal RNA", at positions 358 to 773 of the family's 1533-position model. The record is from RNAcentral.